GUGUCUGUAGCCUUGUGGUAAAAGGCAGCACUCUAGAUGCUGAGGUCGUGGGUUUGAAUCCCACCGGACACA
Molecule: transfer RNA, 72 nt
Filed under: Cronartium ribicola 11-2
Lineage: Eukaryota; Fungi; Basidiomycota; Pucciniomycetes; Pucciniales; Coleosporiaceae
Description: tRNA-Sup (CTA) (tRNA-Sup-CTA-105-1)
Rfam family: tRNA
About the family: Transfer RNA (tRNA) molecules are approximately 80 nucleotides in length. Their secondary structure includes four short double-helical elements and three loops (D, anti-codon, and T loops).
Source: RNAcentral